AGCACGGCGGAAGCGUCAGUGCGCGGGGCGCCUCGAGGCGAGCGGGAGACGAGUGGGCUGUGAGGCCGCUGUGGGGCGAAGAGCGACCUGUCCAGUUGGCGCCGCGCUUUUAGAGCACGUUUCCUGUUUAAAUUAUCCCUAGGAGUACUUAAAAAUAUAUAAAUAAAUAAUCACCCCGCCAUUAUCACACCUCGAAAAGUUAAGCAGUCUGUACGUCUUCUACUGAGAUGCCCAAUGGAUUCACCUAACAAAACCAGGACUAGGCCUGGAGUCAAGAAUUACAAUCAAGCCAACUGGGUCUGACUGAGGAUAUGCCGUAUCCUGAGUUACUUUGUCCAAGGCAACACUUCUCUUAUCAGCAAAGCCUCCAGUUUUUAUGGCAUUUAAUGCAGUGUGCUGGGGAGCUCUUCAGUUGAUUUCACUGACCUUCCUGUUAGGCCUGCAAUUACUGUCUCCCCAGGCUGUAAAAGACCCUAGGGGCACACAGUUCUGUGGCAUCCACUUGGAUCAGCAGGAAGGCUAGGAGGCAAGAGAGAAAACAUCAGGUUUGAAGAUCAAAGAGAUUCAUUGUGGCUGGAACAUGAAACAUGAAGGAAUUCUGGUGAGAGAUGAGGCUGGAAAGGUAUAUGGAAGCCAAGUCAUGCGGAGUCUCCUCAUUUGGUUAAGGCAUUUGGACUUCAUCCUAAAAGCAGAGUGGAGCCACAGAAGAAUUUUUAGUGAGAGGUUCUGGUCCCUCUGAGGAUUUUGCCUAUACCAGAGAGAAUGAGAAGAAAUCCUCUUCACACACUGUACAGCUGCACUAAAAGCAGCUAGCGGGGAAAUUGACCUAUAAAUACUAUGAGCACAUUAAGUGCUCUGAUGCCCCAGUACCUCCAAGCCUGAGGAAAGCAGUCAA
Molecule: long non-coding RNA, 895 nt
Organism: Ailuropoda melanoleuca (giant panda)
Lineage: Eukaryota; Metazoa; Chordata; Mammalia; Carnivora; Ursidae
Exons: 6
Source: RefSeq, a predicted model, not a curated record